This 16-nucleotide small RNA is filed under the name Arabidopsis thaliana (thale cress). Its description in RNAcentral is "ATSL049710". Lineage: Eukaryota; Viridiplantae; Streptophyta; Magnoliopsida; Brassicales; Brassicaceae. The record is from RNAcentral.
AAGAGAGGAUGAUGUA